AACAUCGCGCACCUGCGGGAACCUGCGGAGGGAUCAUUACGGAGUUGCAAAACUCCCCAAACCAUUGUGAACGUUACCUAAACCGUUGCUUCGGCGGGCGGCCCGGGUCCUUCCCGGCGCCCCUCGGCCCUCGCGGGCGCCCGCCGGAGGUAAACCAAACUAUUGCAUUGUAUGGCCUCUCUGAGUCUUCUGUACUGAAUAAGUCAAAACUUUUAACAACGGAUCUCAGAUCGGAAGAGC
Molecule: unclassified non-coding RNA, 240 nt
Filed under: soil metagenome
Description: partial contains 5.8S ribosomal RNA, internal transcribed spacer 2, and large subunit ribosomal RNA
Source: RNAcentral